This 255-nucleotide ribosomal RNA is filed under the name uncultured bacterium. RNAcentral describes it as "partial 16S ribosomal RNA". It matches the Rfam family "Bacterial small subunit ribosomal RNA", at positions 524 to 776 of the family's 1533-position model. The record is from RNAcentral.
UACGUAGGGGGGCAAGCGUUUGUCCGGAAUCAUUGGGCGUAAAGCGCGUGUAGGCGGUUCGAUAAGUCUGCUGUGAAAGUCCAGGGCUCAACCCUGGAAAGCCGGUGGAUACUGUCGGACUAGAGUGCGGAAGAGGCGAGUGGAAUUCCCGGUGUAGCGGUGAAAUGCGCAGAUAUCGGGAGGAACACCAAUUGCGAAGGCAGCUCGCUGGGACGUUACUGACGCUGAGACGCGAAAGCGUGGGGAGCAAACAGG